This 154-nucleotide non-coding RNA is filed under the name Pseudomonadota bacterium. RNAcentral describes it as "6S RNA". It matches the Rfam family "6S / SsrS RNA". Rfam says of the family: E. coli 6S RNA was the first non coding RNA to be sequenced, but its function was unknown until recently. Lineage: Bacteria; Pseudomonadati; Pseudomonadota. The record is from RNAcentral.
GCGGGGCUGCGAGGUGCGACGGAGUCACACUUCCGGGGCCUUACGAUCCUGAAGGGAGCUGUCCCUGACCGGGACCCUGGUUCCGGACAUAUGGCGCCCACCUACUUCUGUAGGUUCCCGGGAUCAGCACUCUGACGGCCAUUGCGGCUCCGCA